Molecule: microRNA precursor, 202 nt
Filed under: Oryza glumipatula
Lineage: Eukaryota; Viridiplantae; Streptophyta; Magnoliopsida; Poales; Poaceae
Description: MIR812 microRNA precursor family
Rfam family: MIR812 microRNA precursor family
Source: Rfam by way of RNAcentral
AAUAAGAGUAAUUUUACACGGUAUAUAUUCAACAUUUAACUAUUAUUUUAUUUGAUAUUCUUUUAUGAUUACUAUUUUUAUUGUUAUUUAUGAUAAAACAGGAAUAAUAUUUUACGUGUGACUGAUUUUUUUAAUUUUUAUAAAGUUUUUAAAUAAGACAGACGGUUAAAUGUUGAAUACGGAUAGCAUGGCUGUACUUAUU